RNAcentral lists this ribosomal RNA (3056 nucleotides) under Triticum aestivum (bread wheat). RNAcentral describes it as "partial small subunit ribosomal RNA". Lineage: Eukaryota; Viridiplantae; Streptophyta; Magnoliopsida; Poales; Poaceae. The record is from RNAcentral.
GGAAAAUGUUCAAACACCUGAUUUGGUAGUGUAGGUAACGUUCAAACACCUAGACAUCACGAGAACGGAGAAAUAUAUAUUGGAGACGGUGACAGAUGACCACAGUCAUCAGGUGGGUAGUGCAGACUGGCUAGCUAGCUGGCGGCUGACGGGCUGAGGAUGGCAGGUCGUCGGCGGCCGGCCCGAGGCGAAGAUGCUAGUGGCUCGUCCCUUGCCGCCUCCUUCGUUGGGGCGGGGCCCGAGCGGUACCCCGAGGUGGUCGCCCUGCUGCGGCCCCCUUCGUCGCUGUUCCCCUUCCGGCGCGAGACGCUACUGCCGCGCCUCGGCCCCCGCGGGCGCGUGCGCUGGCCGGCGCACGGCGGCACCUGCCUCGUCGACUGCGACGCGCCGGACCACCACUCGCACCGGCAGCCGUGGUACAUGUCGCAGUAGCACUACUUCGAGUUGGAGUGGUGCCCGGAGUUGGGGUGGGAGUUGCAGAGGCGGCGCGAGUAGAGGAAGCAGUACGAGGCCCCGACCUGCGUCCGCGACCGGGCGGACCCGGCGCAGCAGGCGGGCGAGUGGGCGGUCCUCUUGUGGCAGCACGUCUGGACGCGGCAGCGGACGAUGUCGUAGCCGCGGCGGCCACCCAAGCCCAGGAUGGACGAGCCCGAGUUGUUCUUCUGGAUGCUCUACCGGCCCCACCUGUACCUUCCGUUGCACCCGUGGUUCCUCGGGCCGCAACCCACCUACUACCCGAAGGAGAAGCGGCAGCGGAAGCAGCCCUAAGAGCGCGAACAGGGAGAGUCCUUCUAAAACCACUAGCUGAUGUUUAAUUGAAUGGGUUCGCCUUGACGUUGACGGCACGAAUAUUUACCUAAAGUACGCAGGUUCCCUCUACUACACCGUUUCUACGUUCACUUACCUAAGUGUUUUAUGAAACGUUAAUCGAAGAAGACCUCGAAGAAGGUCACCAAAAUAAGACCACCUCUAGUAACACCGAAAAGCGUUAAGGGGUGAGAACCUGAUGCUCGAACCUUUGUAAGCAAGAAGAAACUAAAGUUAGAGUGUAUACAACCCCGUCCCUACUAAACGGGGGUGGAACACUUAUAUAGAGAGGAAGAACCGAGAUAAGAGAGGACCCCGCAUUACACCGGUGACUAACGACUAAACUUUCCCUUGACCAUAGGCCGUCUUAAUGGUCUUUCGUCGUACUCUUCAGACGUUCCAAUGUUCCGGAAGUAAACGUAUCGAGAGUAGGAUCCUCUGCCGUAUAUGUUAAAAUGUUUCUAAUAAGAAUUCUGGCAGUACUCAUACGAACUGUUUAGUUUUGUCUUUUUGCGUUUCUUACCCCUUCUAUGAGACAGUGAGCAACUUGUUGUAGCGUUACUUCACAAAUAUUCUCUGUCAGAGGGAUUGACCGAUCGGAAAAACCCAAUGAAACGUAAUAGCCAGCAACGACAUUAGUGAUAAGGGUCCUACAAGGGACUCAACUUCACCAUGAUACGACAACAUCGUAUGGAUAACCGAGGACGAGACCCAAAGAGGUUACGGAUACCUAGGCCAGAAUGGCUGUAGUUGUACCGGAAGUUGAUACCUUUUCAACGGGAGGAGUAAGAACGCCGGCGUCGACCCUUUCUUGUACCGCACCAACGACCCUACCAUCCGACACCGUACCACUUCACAUACUGCAGCUAUAGACGACUAGACUACGUCCUGAAGUUUUGACCCGUAGAAUGUAAUUGUAGUGGAUCUAGUUACGAAUAGCGGGUCUAGUAGCCGUGGCGGUAACCAACACAGUAGAGUGGCGACUGUAAGAUACACAAGAUGUUACGGAAACUGUAUCCGUUGGUCCUGUCGGGGACCUUCCGCGGCAUACGAGACUAUAUGGCUUUGUAGCGCUAAGAACCACACCUCCCGAAGAGACGAGACGGGUACGUAACGAACGUCGAGACGACACCUAAGAAACGGAAACGUGACCACCGGUUGGACUACUCCCUAAAGGAAGGUGUCUUCAUACCGUUUACCCAGGGGAACGGGUACCGUUACCCCAAGGGGAAGGAACAGCCGCGCUCGAAGCGGUAGCUGUACACACGGCCCUCGAACUAUCAGAUGUAGACCGUGUUCUAACUGUCCUCGUUUCGUCGUGUAUACCACGGUCGUCAACGGAGGCCAAAAUAUACACCCCUACCUGAAACCUAGAAGGGUCGAAGGAACGAACGCAACCGGUUCUAGUGGGGUGGUUACACGUACCGUAAACGAAGAUGUGUGAUCUACCCAUAGUACGGGCUAUCACCAGCGACCGAGCGUCGAGAUACCACUUAUUCAACUUACUAUAUAUUUAGGUCUUCCACAUUUUAACAUUCUCCAUAUAGUAGAAAGUUCUCGUCGUCUAGGUUAACGGUUUACACCCGAAGGUAGACAAUAGAUGUUUACAAUAGUAGCCUAUAUUUGGUAGUUUACUUCCCAACAGUCUACUGCACACCGUGGCUUUCGCAACAGUUCAUUACACAUAUUUGACUACUCCUAUUCUGACCCCAUACUUCUAUCUACUCGGGUGAGCUGUCCUAAUGGCGUCGCUACUUAAUGACAUACGACGUCGUCCCUUUGUAGUACUCAAAGACUUUUGGUAGGUUGUUUAAGUCACGACGAAUCACGAAUGGUGACUUGUGACUUCUGUUUUAAUCCGGAUAUGUAAUGACACAUUAAUAGAAGGACACCACUAAUAAAAGAAAUCACUCUUCAGGGAUAGAUAGUCAAAUACAUACACAUCCUCUAUACUAAGAGUCUUAUUUUACGCUUCCAGAAAAAUUUAACGAAAAUUCCAUUUCUUUAUAAGUCAUCUAUUAAUCCAGGACAUCGAGUCAACCAAUCUCACAACCAGACUAUACGGUUUUCAGUGCCCAAGUUAGGGGCAGCCCUGGUCAAGAAAAAAAUUUAACACUAAUGGGAGAUAAAAGAAAAGAAAAAAACGCCCUUCUAAUGGGAGAAAAAAGUUACAUAAAAGAUUGACGAGUAGCAAAAAGGAUCAUUAAACUCUUUUGUUUUUACUGAGUAAUUCAGAACAUAUAGUCCCC